RNAcentral lists this ribosomal RNA (849 nucleotides) under uncultured bacterium. RNAcentral describes it as "bacterial SSU rRNA". It matches the Rfam family "Bacterial small subunit ribosomal RNA", at positions 51 to 890 of the family's 1533-position model. The record is from RNAcentral.
ACACAUGCAAGUCGAGGGGAAACGACAUCGAAAGCUUGCUUUUGAUGGGCGUCGACCGGCGCACGGGUGAGUAACGCGUAUCCAACCUGCCCACCACUUGGGGAUAACCUUGCGAAAGUAAGACUAAUACCCAAUGACGUCUCUAGAAGACAUCUGAAAGAGAUUAAAGAUUUAUCGGUGAUGGAUGGGGAUGCGUCUGAUUAGCUUGUUGGCGGGGUAACGGCCCACCAAGGCGACGAUCAGUAGGGGUUCUGAGAGGAAGGUCCCCCACAUUGGAACUGAGACACGGUCCAAACUCCUACGGGAGGCAGCAGUGAGGAAUAUUGGUCAAUGGACGAGAGUCUGAACCAGCCAAGUAGCGUGCAGGAAGACGGCCCUAUGGGUUGUAAACUGCUUUUAUAAGGGAAUAAAGUGAGAGUCGUGACUCUUUUUGCAUGUACCUUAUGAAUAAGGACCGGCUAAUUCCGUGCCAGCAGCCGCGGUAAUACGGAAGGUCCGGGCGUUAUCCGGAUUUAUUGGGUUUAAAGGGAGCGUAGGCCGGAGAUUAAGCGUGUUGUGAAAUGUAGAUGCUCAACAUCUGAACUGCAGCGCGAACUGGUUUCCUUGAGUACGCACAAAGUGGGCGGAAUUCGUGGUGUAGCGGUGAAAUGCUUAGAUAUCACGAAGAACUCCGAUUGCGAAGGCAGCUCACUGGAGCGCAACUGACGCUGAAGCUCGAAAGUGCGGGUAUCGAACAGGAUUAGAUACCCUGGUAGUCCGCACGGUAAACGAUGGAUGCCCGCUGUUGGUCUGAAUAGGUCAGCGGCCAAGCGAAAGCAUUAAGCAUCCCACCUGGGGAGUACGCCGGCA